This 27-nucleotide non-coding RNA is filed under the name Homo sapiens (human). The record is from RNAcentral. Lineage: Eukaryota; Metazoa; Chordata; Mammalia; Primates; Hominidae.
GCAUUUCAGAGAUGUUUGCAGCAGCCC